CAGAAUUUAUCGAGUAUUUAACCAAAAUUAGUCCAAACAAAUUAGCGGCCGACAACAUUAGAGCAGAGCUGUGAGCUAAGAAACUAUAAAUCACCAUAGCUAACGCCAAGAAAUUUAAAGAAAACAAAAGUUUUUCUUUUUUCUAUUUAAUUCUCCUUCUGAUAAAGCCACAAAUUGGGGGGAAAAAAAAAACUAUUUGGCUUUCUGCUAUUGCUGGGCCGAAAACACCGUAAUUAAUGAGAAAUCAAUUAAUCUGGAAAUUCUUGAAAACAAAUAUAUGAAACAGAAGGAAAA
Molecule: long non-coding RNA, 294 nt
Organism: Ipomoea nil (Japanese morning glory)
Lineage: Eukaryota; Viridiplantae; Streptophyta; Magnoliopsida; Solanales; Convolvulaceae
Exons: 3
Source: RefSeq, a predicted model, not a curated record